Ctenopharyngodon idella (grass carp) is the source of this 819-nucleotide long non-coding RNA. RefSeq lists it as uncharacterized. The record is from RefSeq and is a predicted model, not a curated record. NCBI's taxonomy places the organism in Eukaryota, Metazoa, Chordata, Actinopteri, Cypriniformes, Xenocyprididae. The transcript has 2 exons.
GGGAAGCAUUUUUUUUUCUUUCUGAACUCUUAAUUAAAUGUUUAUUUUUAAUCCAUUUACUUAUUAACUAUGGAAUAUUAUGAAUUAUUGCAGUCAUCUGUUUAUUUAUUUAGACCAUAUUUUAAUGUGGGUUACAAAAACUCUUCCAGUCUCAGCUACAGCUAGUGUUUGAAGACGGGGACACACUUAACGAUUGUAAGGCCGAUUAUGAAUGUAAUUUGAUACUUACGACAGAUCAUGCUCAAAUGCGCCGAGUCAGAGCCAACCAGGUGAAAAAAGUACAUUUCUAUAAUGUACUUAAAGUGCUCUAUUUUCACGCACUAAUUUUGUACUUAAUAUACUAAACGUUCUUCUUUAAUAAGAUAAUCUUAGGAACAUCUAAGUGUACUCAACUGUGCUAUUUUGAGACACCAUGAAUAUGAACUAAAAUGUGCUAGCUGAGAGAAGCAGCUCUCUCUCUUUAGGGCAGGACUUGAUUUUACACAUCAGCUGUUGACUGAAUUUUGAAAAGUGGGCUUUGUAUUAAAGCGACAGCAAUUGUUUGGCUUCAGAAGACACUGAUUCAUCCUCUGGUGUUGUAUGGUUUACCAUCACAAUCGCUGUGUGUGGUUUUUCAAGCUUAAACUGAGCUUUUCAACCAUUCAACUGCAUUAUAUGGACUCACAAAGAUGGAUUAUUUAUUUCCCUAAAAAUCUUCGUUUGUGUUUAUCCAAAGAAAAAAAGUCAUAUACAUCGGGGAUGGCAUGAGUGAAUGAUGAAAGGUUUUUUAUUUUUCUGCACUGUAAAAAGCGCUAAAUAAAUAAAGGUCACUUGACUUGA